RNAcentral lists this ribosomal RNA (471 nucleotides) under uncultured bacterium. RNAcentral describes it as "partial 16S ribosomal RNA". It matches the Rfam family "Bacterial small subunit ribosomal RNA", at positions 355 to 813 of the family's 1533-position model. The record is from RNAcentral.
UGGGGAAUUUUGGACAAUGGGCGAAAGCCUGAUCCAGCAAUGCCGCGUGUGUGAAGAAGGCCUUCGGGUUGUAAAGCACUUUUGUCCGGAAAGAAAUCCUCUGGGUUAAUACCUCGGGGGGAUGACGGUACCGGAAGAAUAAGCACCGGCUAACUACGUGCCAGCAGCCGCGGUAAUACGUAGGGUGCAAGCGUUAAUCGGAAUUACUGGGCGUAAAGCGUGCGCAGGCGGUUUUGUAAGACGGAUGUGAAAUCCCCCGGGGCUUAACCUGGGAACUGCAUUCGUGACUGCAAGGCUAGAGUAUGGCAAGAGGGGGGUUAGAAUUCCACGUGUGAGCAGUGAAAUGCGUAGAGAUGUGGAGGAAUACCGAUGGCGAAGGCAGCCCCCUGGGCCAAUACUGACGCUCAUGCACGAAAGCGUGGGGAGCAAACAGGAUUAGAUACCCUGGUAGUCCACGCCCUAAACGAUGUC